AAAUCUCAACCUCCUUGGUUUCUUCUAGAGACCAAAGGUGGCUUGGACUUUGGAGGCCUUUGCUGGCACCUCUCUCCAGCUCCUCUUGAAUGAAUUAGCGGGGUCCUCUUUGCCGACCCUUGACAUGUGAUAAGAUGUUUCCAUGUCUUGGUUUCUGGCUCUGUUGCCUUUGGGACCCGCUUCAAACCGUCUCAACUUGAGAGACAAUGUUCGAGCCUGUCUCCCUUCUUGGGAGACCCCUCUCGGCCCCACGAAC
Molecule: unclassified non-coding RNA, 256 nt
Filed under: uncultured Lactarius
Lineage: Eukaryota; Fungi; Basidiomycota; Agaricomycetes; Russulales; Russulaceae
Description: sequence contains ITS2
Source: RNAcentral